AGAACUAUAUUAUCCGCAAACAUCUGCAAAAAUUAAAGAAAUUACUAGAGAAAAUCAAGGAAAUUGAAAAGAACAAAACGUCACAUGUAUAAUUUCUUGGGCAUCACAACCAAGAUCCCAUCAACACCAUACCUAGGAACUGAAUCACAUAAUUCCAAAAAGAACUAAAACUUGUAAAAUUCUAAUACCUUACAAAUAUUUAAAUUUUUGCGAAUGGAUUACAAAAUCCCUUAUCCCCAAUCAUACCAUCCAUUUAUACUUUAUACUACCAGUUACAACCUUUGAGUUGUUUCAUUAUCACAUAGCUUCCAUUGCCUGGAAACAACUGAUCUAAUGUGUACUAUUAAUAUCCUACAUCAUCUACAUAAUUAAUUACAGUAUUGCCAAAGACAACCAAAGAUAGCAGGAGCCAUUGACUAGAUUGGUUUAUAAAACUAUAAAGGACGAAAUGAAAUAGUUGGGUUUCCAGUAUCUAUCUUCCUGCCUAUGCAACACAAAGCUUACAAUAGAAAUCCAUAUUAGUAAAUCAACCAAAAAAAGACAUCACUACCAGUUGAUCACUGUUCAAUUCACAUCAAAAUAAUCCUAAAGAACAAUUUCACAUUUUAAGUCCCACCUAGUCCUCCUAAAAGAUGUUUCUGUAAUAUAAAGGUUUUAUAGUACAAUAUUAGCAUUUGCAACUCAUAUCAUAUCCUAAUUUCCCAGUAAUAGUAGCUCCAAUGUAUCCAUACGAUUUGUAGCCAUACCCUUUCUACAUUAUAUGGGUUUCCAAAACCAAAAUUGCAGAGCCCUUUCAACACUCCAUGUAGCGAUUGCUUUUGCACAUAUAUUUGUUAUACUAAUAACUAAUAAGCGAAGACCAAAAACCAAAAGAAUUUCCAUCAAAUACAUGACAUAGCAAAAAAGAAGAAUGUUAUCUGUUGCUAAACAACAAGUUUAUAAUACGAUUACAAUAUUGAAAUCACCCAUCGAAGUAACAAAAGUCAAAAAAUUGUCGUAUAUAGAUGAAGAACGAGACAACCCUGCAAAAACGCAGCAAUCUAAUCUAAUUAAGGUUGUUCACUGAAAAUGAAAAUCAAAAUUCAAAAUUUUAGAUAUUUACUGUCAUUUCCAAAUUUUCUCGGCAUUUCUACUAAGGAAAAAAAAAA
RNAcentral lists this unclassified non-coding RNA (1148 nucleotides) under Hevea brasiliensis (rubber tree). The record is from RNAcentral. Lineage: Eukaryota; Viridiplantae; Streptophyta; Magnoliopsida; Malpighiales; Euphorbiaceae.